CAGAGCAUUCAUUUCAUGGAUGCAGUAGGUAAGACAGCCAGCGGCUCACUUUGGGUCACACCACCCCAGAGCCACUGAGCCGCCCCACCUGGGGCUCCAGUUCCUGGGGACAGUCAGAGUGCAGCACCUCUCACAGCAAGCAGAGCGAGGCCAAGACAUGUGGAGAAGCCUGCCAAUCCCUCAGGAUACAUUCUCUGAGCACUCGACUUGGUGGGAGUUUCAGGAAAUUCUGCAACAAGGCAGAGGGAGGAGGCUGGGAGAAGUUGAGAGAAAUGCUCAGACAGUAUGGGGGAGGAGGAGGCAAUCUGGAAAUCUUGCACUGAAAAAGGUUGGAACAUAUCUCUCUUCCACCUUCCUUCGUAAGGAGCCUCCACCAUUGGUCUGCUAUUUCUCCCCAACUUUCAGUCAGGGCUGUCUGAUGGAUUAAAUAGUGUCGUGAAUGUGAAAGAGCUCUAUACGCCAUUCAGUGCAAAGAAGAUAUGAAGAAUUUCUUUUCUUUCCUUUUUUUUUUUUUUUGAGACAAUAUCUCGCUCUGUCACCCAGGCUGGAGUGUGGUGGCCUGAUCACAGCUCAUUGCAACCUCUGCCUCCUGGACUCAAGUGAUCCUCCCACCUCAGCCUCCUGAGUAGCUGGGACUAUGGUUGUGCACCACCACACUCGGCUAAUUUUUAUAUGUUUAGUAGAGACUGGGUUUCUCCAUGUUGACCGGGCUGGUCUCAAACUCCUGGGCUCAAGAGAUCUGCCUGCCUUGGCCUCCCAAAAUACUGGGAUUACAGGCAUGAGCCACCUCUCCUUGCUCCAUAUGAAGAAUUUCUAAUUGUCCAAUAGAAUUUUUAUUUGUCUAGCUUUCAAAUCAGUUGAAUAUGUAUACUUCAGGAGAUCAGUGAAUAGGUUUGAGGGAGGCAAUAGCAAUACUCUGAGAAAUAAAGCUUUUUACAUGGUCCAAACUUACCAGGUUUAGGGUACAGCUCUGCAGCACUGUUUCCCUUAUGUUCUUUUGGAGGGUUCCACAAGAGUCAAGAUACUAACGCGAGGAGAAGCAACUGGUUCCUAGGACAUGAGCUAUCUUCCUAGGGUACUUAAUGCAUUGUAGAUGCUCAAGACUUAGCCUUUGAUGGAUUGAAAAUAUGUGGCCAGCAUGAUCCAGAGGAAACGGGGUGUUUCUCUGCCUAGUUGUGACUGUGUCUCCUCAGCUCUUCUUGACUCCUCUGGAAGAGGCAGGUAGAACGGGAAAAGGGAAGUAGGAAAAAUGAAAAGAGGAGGGAAAUAGAAUGAUACCUGGGGGUGGAAGGAGAGAAAUUCUUAGAAUUGGGAAGAGGAAACACUGUCAUUACAUUAAGUUUGCUGGCAUGAAGGAUGCUGGAGUGAAGGGAUGCUGAAGUGCUCCUGGACCCAUCACAAAAUGUUUGCAGAUGAAGAAGCUAAAGUUAGAGAGGGGAAAUGACGAAUUCAGGGUUACUUAUAAAGGCUGAUACUUUAGCAAUCAUUGGUGGUUUUCUAUGGUAUUUUAAGCAACAACAAAAAAAAAACCUUGAUGUUAUUCUUAACAUGUCUUCCUCUGUCUCUAAUGCCCAAAUUAAAUCCAUAAGCAAAUUCUGUUGAGCCUAUUUGAAAAUAUAUCCCGAACCCAGCUAUUCCUCUUUUCCUCCACCAUUAUCUUCAUCCUAGUCAAGUCACCCUCUCCUCUCCCCUGAAUUAGGAAAUGAUCUUGAGCUUUUCCCAUGUCCUGGGUAUGGUCUCUUCACACAGCAGCCAAAAUGAUCCUUUAAACACUUAAGAUCAUGUUACCUCUCUGCCCAACAUACCCACUGACUUCCCACCUCACUCAGAGUAAAAUUCAAAGAGCUGUCUGCCACCUAUGAAGCCCUGGAUAAACCUGCCUCCCACUGCAUCUCUCCUUUCGCUAUAUCCUGAUAUUCCUUUGACAAAUGCAGCACGCUCCUACCUCAGGGCCUUUGUAGUUGGUGCUUCCCUCUGCCCGAAACAUUCUUCCCUCAGAUAUUUGCAUGGCUCAAUUCUCACUCAGACUUCAGGUCUGCUCAAGGGUCAGCUUAUCAGACCACUUUCUUGAUUGUCUUCUGUAAAUUAGCACACACAUUCCACACUCCUGUCCUCUACUCCACUUCUUUUUCCUUCUGGCAUUUGUCCCCGUUGUACAUAUUUAGUAUUAUCUGUCUCCAUUCACUAGAAUAUAAAUUCUAUGAGGGCAGAGAUUUGCCUGUUUUCUUUUCUAUCCAUUAUUUCUCCUAUCUGGCAUAUAUUAGGCCCUGAAAAACGUUUGUUCAAUCAGUGAAUAAAUGAACUGAAGCCCAAUGUCUCAGAGCAAAGGAAUAAAGCACUGGGAAUUCCAAAAAGAUGUGGAGUUAAUUCUUAAUUCUGUUAUUUGCCGGCUGUCUUUUAGCCACAUUAUCAGCCUCCAUUUCUCCAGCCUGUUACAUGGAGAUAAUACCCA
RNAcentral lists this long non-coding RNA (2452 nucleotides) under Homo sapiens (human). Its description in RNAcentral is "HSALNT0008543". The record is from RNAcentral. Lineage: Eukaryota; Metazoa; Chordata; Mammalia; Primates; Hominidae.